GCGCCCAUAGCUCAAUGGAUAGAGUAUUUGACUACGAAUCAAAAGGUUAGAGGUUCAAGUCCUCUUGGGCGCG
This 73-nucleotide transfer RNA is filed under the name Endomicrobium sp. RNAcentral describes it as "tRNA-Arg". It matches the Rfam family "tRNA". Rfam says of the family: Transfer RNA (tRNA) molecules are approximately 80 nucleotides in length. Their secondary structure includes four short double-helical elements and three loops (D, anti-codon, and T loops). Lineage: Bacteria; Pseudomonadati; Elusimicrobiota; Endomicrobiia; Endomicrobiales; Endomicrobiaceae. The record is from RNAcentral.